GCUAAGUUUGAUGGCGACCGGCGCACGGGUGAGUAACACGUAUCCAACCUGCCGAUAACUCGGGGAUAGCCUUUCGAAGAAAGAUUAAUACCCGAUGGCAUAGUUCUUCCGCAUGGUAGAACUAUUAAAGAAUUUCGGUCAUCGAUGGGGAUGCGUUCCAUUAGGUUGUUGGCGGGGUAACGGCCCACCAAGCCUUCGAUGGAUAGGGGUUCUGAGAGGAAGGUCCCCCACAUUGGAACUGAGACACGGUCCAAACUCCUACGGGAGGCAGCAUG
This 275-nucleotide ribosomal RNA is filed under the name uncultured bacterium. RNAcentral's name for it is "partial 16S ribosomal RNA". It matches the Rfam family "Bacterial small subunit ribosomal RNA", at positions 77 to 353 of the family's 1533-position model. The record is from RNAcentral.